Molecule: ribosomal RNA, 2629 nt
Filed under: Sulfurovum sp. 16-42-52
Lineage: Bacteria; Pseudomonadati; Campylobacterota; Epsilonproteobacteria; Campylobacterales; Sulfurovaceae
Description: bacterial LSU rRNA
Rfam family: Bacterial large subunit ribosomal RNA
Source: RNAcentral
UUAAGAAAAUUAAUCUAAGGGCAGAUGGUGGAUGCCUAGACCAGAAGAGGCGAUGAAGGACGUACUAGGCUGCGAUAAGCCAGGGGGAGCUGCCAAGAAGCUUUGAUCCCUGGAUUUCCGAAUGGGGCAACCCGGCAUGGCGCGAGUCAUGUCACUCUUAGGAGAGCGAACGCGGGGAAGUGAAACAUCUCAGUACCCGCAGGAAAAGAAAUCAACCGAGAUUCCCUUAGUAGCGGCGAGCGAAACGGGAACAGCCCUAAAAUCUUUGAGGUGUUAGUAGAAAUUGCUGGAAUGCAAUACCGUAGAGGGUGAAAGUCCCGUAUACGAAAACUAAUCAUAGACUAUUCGAGUAGGUCGGGACACGUGAAACCCUGACUGAAUAUGGGAGGACCACCUUCCAAGGCUAAAUACUACUUCAGGAUCGAUAGUGAACCAGUACCGUGAGGGAAAGGUGAAAAGAACCGCAGUGAGCGGAGUGAAAUAGAACCUGAAACCAUCUGCCUACAAUCAUUCAGAGCCCUAUGUUUUAUACAGGGUGAUGGACUGCCUUUUGCAUAAUGAGCCUGCGAGUUAUGGUGACUAGCAAGGUUAAACAAACGUGAAGCCGUAGCGAAAGCGAGUCUUAAUAGGGCGAUAGUUAGUUGCUGUAGACCCGAAACUAAGUGAUCUAUCCAUGGGCAGGUUGAAGCUGGUGUAAGAGCUAGUGGAGGACCGAACGGGUGAAGGUUUAAAACUUCUCCGAUGACCUGUGGAUAGGGGUGAAAGGCCAAUCAAACUUAGUGAUAGCUGGUUCUCUCCGAAAUAUAUUUAGGUAUAGCGUCAUGUUCGAAAUAUGAGGGGGUAGAGCACUGAUUGGGCUAGGGCGUAUACCAAUGUACCAAACCCAGUCAAACUCCGAAUACCUCAUGUGAAUUCAUGGCAGUCAGGUGGUGGGUGAUAAAAUCAAUCAUCGAGAGGGAAACAGCCCAGACUACCAGCUAAGGUCCCAAAGUCCUAUUUAAGUGGAAAAGGAUGUGGAGUUGCUUAGACAACCAGGAGGUUGGCUUAGAAGCAGCCAUCCUUUAAAGAAAGCGUAACAGCUCACUGGUCUAGCGAUUCUGCGCCGAAAAUAUAACGGGGCUAAAAUAGGCACCGAAGCUGUAGAUUUAGUAUUUAUACUAAGUGGUAGGAGAGCGUUCUAGUCAGCAUUGAAGCCAUACCGGUAAGGAGUGGUGGAGCGGCUAGAAGUGAGCAUGCAGGCAUGAGUAGCGAGAAAACAGGUGAGAAUCCUGUUCGCCGUAAACCCAAGGGUUCCUACACUAUGCUCGUCAAUGUAGGGUUAGUCGGGUCCUAAGCUGAGUCCGAAAGGGGUAAGCGAUGGCAAAUUGGUUAAUAUUCCAAUACCAACUAAUAGUUUAGUACGAUGGGGGGACGCAUAGGGUUAAACGAGCUCACUGAUGGAAUAGUGGGUCGAAGGGCGUAGGUAAGCCGGAUAGGAAAAUCCGCCGGCUCUUUCCGAGACCUGACAGGCUGAUGACGUUCUUCGGAAUAGAUUCAGAAUCGUUGAUACCGUCGUGCCAAGAAAAGCCUCUAAGUGUAUUAUUAGUUGCCCGUACCGUAAACCGACACAGGUGGGUGAGAUGAGUAUUCUAAGGCGCGUGGAAGAACCCUGGUUAAGGAACUCUGCAAACUAGCACCGUAACUUCGGAAUAAGGUGUGCCUAACUUGGUAUAUGGACUUGCUCCAAAAAGCUAAGAAGGUUGCAACAAAGAGUCCCUCCCGACUGUUUAUCAAAAACACAGCACUUUGCUAACUCGUAAGAGGAUGUAUAAGGUGUGACGCCUGCCCGGUGCUUGAAGGUUAAUUGAUGGGGUUAGCUAAAUACCGACCUGCAUGAAUGGCGUAACGAGAUGGGAGCUGUCUCAACCAGGGAUCCAGUGAAAUUGUAGUGGAGGUGAAAAUUCCUCCUACCCGCGGCAAGACGGAAAGACCCCGUGCACCUUUACUAUAGCUUGACACUGCAAUUGGGAUAUAUUUGUGCAGGAUAGGUGGGAUGCUUUGAUGAUAUGACGCCAGUUGUAUCGGAGCAGUCCUUGAGAUACCACCCUUAUGUAUUCUGAUUGCUAACUUGCUUGGGUUAUCCCCAAGGAGGACAAUGUCUGGUGGGUAGUUUGACUGGGGCGGUCGCCUCUAAAAGGUACGCCGGGGAUAACAGGCUGAUCUCCCCCAAGAGCUCACAUCGACGGGGAGGUUUGGCACCUCGAUGUCGGCUCAUCGCAUCCUGGGGCUGAAGCAGGUCCCAAGGGUAUGGCUGUUCGCCAUUUAAAGCGGUACGCGAGCUGGGUUCAGAACGUCGUGAGACAGUUCGGUCCCUAUCUGCCGUGGGCGUUGGAUGAUUGAGGAGAGUUGACCCUAGUACGAGAGGACCGGGUUGAACGAACCACUGGUGUACCAGUUGUCCUGCCAAGGGCAUCGCUGGGUAGCUAUGUUCGGAUGUGAUAACCGCUGAAAGCAUCUAAGCGGGAAGCCAACUCCAAGAUGAAUCAUCCCUGAAGAUCCGCAGAAGACUACUGCGUUGAUAGGCUGGGUGUGUAAGUGAUGAAAGUCAUUUAGCUGACCAGUACUAAUAGAUCGUUCGUAUUUACUUUAU